Molecule: ribosomal RNA, 603 nt
Filed under: bacterium xpnta254lb354onp10.8dc
Lineage: Bacteria
Description: bacterial SSU rRNA
Rfam family: Bacterial small subunit ribosomal RNA
Source: RNAcentral
ACACAUGCAGUCGAACGAUGAAGCCUCGCUUGCGGGGUGGAUUAGUGGCGAACGGGUGAGUAACACGUGAGCAACCUGCCCUGGACUCUGGGAUAAGCGCUGGAAACGGUGUCUAAUACUGGAUAUGAGCUCUCAUCGCAUGGUGGGGGUUGGAAAGAUUUUUCGGUCUGGGAUGGGCUCGCGGCCUAUCACCUUGUUGGUGAGGUAAUGGCUUACCAAGGCGUCGACGGGUAGCCGGCCUGAGAGGGUGACCGGCCACACUGGGACUGAGACACGGCCCAGACUCCUACGGGAGGCAGCAGUGGGGAAUAUUGCACAAUGGGCGGAAGCCUGAUGCAGCAACGCCGCGUGAGGGAUGACGGCCUUCGGGUUGUAAACCUCUUUUAGCAAGGAAGAAGCGAAAGUGACGGUACUUGCAGAAAAAGCGCCGGCUAACUACGUGCCAGCAGCCGCGGUAAUACGUAGGGCGCAAGCGUUAUCCGGAAUUAUUGGGCGUAAAGAGCUCGUAGGCGGUUUGUCGCGUCUGCUGUGAAAACCCGAGGCUCAACCUCGGGCCUGCAGUGGGUACGGGCAGACUAGAGUGCGGUAGGGGAGAUUGGAAUU